UUAAAUUGAAGAGUUUGAUCAUGGCUCAGAUUGAAUGCUGGCGGCAGGCCUAACACAUGCAAGUCGAACGGUAACAGGAAACAGCUUGCUGUUUCGCUGACGAGUGGCGGACGGGUGAGUAAUGUCUGGGAAACUGCCUG
RNAcentral lists this ribosomal RNA (140 nucleotides) under Escherichia coli O103:H2 str. 2010C-4433. RNAcentral describes it as "partial 16S ribosomal RNA". It matches the Rfam family "Bacterial small subunit ribosomal RNA", at positions 1 to 132 of the family's 1533-position model. Lineage: Bacteria; Pseudomonadati; Pseudomonadota; Gammaproteobacteria; Enterobacterales; Enterobacteriaceae. The record is from RNAcentral.